AAAUAGAAUCUUGAUGAUGAUUAAAAGGAGGGACGAUAGGCAGGCCGUAAAGCAAACAUGUAAGAUGGUUGCCGGGACUUCUAGAAAGUGAAAAAAACCCCAUUGAUAAUCAUAUUCGAUUUUCAAAA
Molecule: microRNA precursor, 128 nt
Filed under: Oryza sativa Indica Group (long-grained rice)
Lineage: Eukaryota; Viridiplantae; Streptophyta; Magnoliopsida; Poales; Poaceae
Description: osa-MIR1426
Source: RNAcentral